UGCUUAACACAUGCAAGUCGAACGAUGAAGGGGGAGCUUGCUCCUCUGGAUUAGUGGCGAACGGGUGAGUAACACGUGAGCAAUCUGCCCCUGACUCUGGGAUAAGCGCUGGAAACGGCGUCUAAUACCGGAUACGAGCCGAGCAGGCAUCUGCAUCGGUUGGAAAGAACUUCGGUCAGGGAUGAGCUCGCGGCCUAUCAGCUUGUUGGUGAGGUAAUGGCUCACCAAGGCGACGACGGGUAGCCGGCCUGAGAGGGUGACCGGCCACACUGGGACUGAGACACGGCCCAGACUCCUACGGGAGGCAGCAGUGGGGAAUAUUGCACAAUGGGCGCAAGCCUGAUGCAGCAACGCCGCGUGAGGGACGAAGGCCUUCGGGUUGUAAACCUCUUUUAGCAGGGAAGAAGCGAGAGUGACGGUACCUGCAGAAAAAGCACCGGCUAACUACGUGCCAGCAGCCGCGGUAAUACGUAGGGUGCGAGCGUUAUCCGGAAUUAUUGGGCGUAAAGAGCUCGUAGGCGGUCUGUCGCGUCUGCUGUGAAAACCCGAGGCUCAACCUCGGGCUUGCAGUGGGUACGGGCAGACUAGAGUGCGGUAGGGGAGAUUGGAAUUCCUGGUGUAGCGGUGGAAUGCGCAGAUAUCAGGAGGAACACCGAUGGCGAAGGCAGAUCUCUGGGCCGUUACUGACGCUGAGGAGCGAAAGCGUGGGGAGCAAACAGGCUUAGAUACCCUGGUAGUCCACGCCGUAAACGUUGGGAACUAGAUGUGGGGACCAUUCCACGGUCUCCGUGUCGUAGCUAACGCAUUAAGUUCCCCGCCUGGGGAGUACGGCCGCAAGGCUAAAACUCAAAGGAAUU
This 857-nucleotide ribosomal RNA is filed under the name Agrococcus jejuensis. RNAcentral's name for it is "bacterial SSU rRNA". It matches the Rfam family "Bacterial small subunit ribosomal RNA", at positions 45 to 911 of the family's 1533-position model. The record is from RNAcentral. Lineage: Bacteria; Bacillati; Actinomycetota; Actinomycetes; Micrococcales; Microbacteriaceae.